UCCCUGGAAAGGGGCGCCAG
Molecule: small nuclear RNA, 20 nt
Filed under: Arabidopsis thaliana (thale cress)
Lineage: Eukaryota; Viridiplantae; Streptophyta; Magnoliopsida; Brassicales; Brassicaceae
Description: snRNA_06712
Source: RNAcentral